UUAACUCAAAUUUGUAUGGAAUUGGAACGUUUGCCUACGUUUGCCGCUGGGGCACUAUUGCCAACUGCAUAUAAAUUUGAGUUA
This 84-nucleotide microRNA precursor is filed under the name Bombyx mori (domestic silkworm). RNAcentral's name for it is "mir-2807 microRNA precursor family". It matches the Rfam family "mir-2807 microRNA precursor family". The record is from Rfam by way of RNAcentral. Lineage: Eukaryota; Metazoa; Arthropoda; Insecta; Lepidoptera; Bombycidae.